Molecule: ribosomal RNA, 157 nt
Filed under: uncultured bacterium
Lineage: Bacteria
Description: partial 16S ribosomal RNA
Rfam family: Bacterial small subunit ribosomal RNA
Source: RNAcentral
UGAGGAACAUGACCUUCGGCGGGGGAUAGCCGGCCCAACGGCCGGGUAAUACCGCGUACGACCACUCGGGGACAUCCCCAGGUGGUGAAAAGCAGCAAUGCGCCGAUGGAGUGCCUCGCGGCCUAUCAGCUUAGUUGGGUGGGGUAACGCNCACGAG